AUACGGAGGGUGCAAGCGUUAUCCGGAUUUACUGGGUUUAAAGGGUACGCAGGCGGUAAUUUAAGUCAGUGGUGAAAGCCUACAGCUCAACUGUAGAACUGCCAUUGAAACUGAAUUACUUGAGUAUGGUAGAGGUAGGCGGAAUACAACAUGUAGCGGUGAAAUGCAUAGAUAUGUUGUAGAACACCGAUUGCGAAGGCAGCUUACUAAACCAUUCCUGACGCUCAUGUACGAAAGCGUGGGGAGCGAACAGGAUUAGAAACCCCAGUAGUCC
RNAcentral lists this ribosomal RNA (274 nucleotides) under uncultured bacterium. Its description in RNAcentral is "partial 16S ribosomal RNA". It matches the Rfam family "Bacterial small subunit ribosomal RNA", at positions 523 to 796 of the family's 1533-position model. The record is from RNAcentral.